Molecule: non-coding RNA, 254 nt
Organism: Pelobates cultripes (western spadefoot toad)
Lineage: Eukaryota; Metazoa; Chordata; Amphibia; Anura; Pelobatidae
Source: the annotation of a GenBank genome assembly
GUCAGAGGAGGGAAAAGAGGAAGGUGCAGCUCUGCCAGCCCCAGGAGCACCAGCCCACCGGGGUAUUUCCCGGUAUCCCGGUGGGCCAGGCCGGCCUUGCUCUCUUGACCAGGAUUGUAUCACUUGGGCAUUCAUCUGGGACUAGCUGGGCUGCCAGAUUGUGAUGGAGGUGUUAACCAGUGGCCAGGUAAGAUGGACAGCGCUCAGGACAUUCAUAGCACAUGCCAAUUCUAAUAGUCGAGUCGGCAAUGGAG